UAAAUGCCCUUGAAAGCACAGCUCUGAUUCCAUGGAAAGAGUGAAACAGGCAGGCUGAGUUUUGUCUGGUGCAGCAGUGAGUUCCUGUUCCAGCCUGAGGAGAUCGGUUCCCAAAACGUCCCUGAUGACCUGUGAAGCUUCUCUGUCAGUGGAAACAACAAGAAGGGUAAAAUCAAGAACACAGCUAUGAAGAAUUGACUCCUUCUAGCACAAUGCUGGCUAUGAAUUUGUUAAAGCGAAGAUGAUUUUGUUCCACUCUUGAUCAAGUCCUGCUGGAGCAUACCUUGACCAAUGGGUGGACUGGUGAUUUUGAACACAACAUCUG
Molecule: long non-coding RNA, 325 nt
Filed under: Numida meleagris (helmeted guineafowl)
Lineage: Eukaryota; Metazoa; Chordata; Aves; Galliformes; Numididae
Description: lncRNA (ENSNMEG00000014461.1)
Source: RNAcentral